This 496-nucleotide ribosomal RNA is filed under the name uncultured bacterium. Its description in RNAcentral is "partial 16S ribosomal RNA". It matches the Rfam family "Bacterial small subunit ribosomal RNA", at positions 28 to 506 of the family's 1533-position model. The record is from RNAcentral.
GAUGAACGCUGGCGGCGUGCCUAAUACAUGCAAGUCGAGCGAACGGACGAGAAGCUUGCUUCUCUGAUGUUAGCGGCGGACGGGUGAGUAACACGUGGAUAACCUACCUAUAAGACUGGGAUAACUUCGGGAAACCGGAGCUAAUACCGGAUAAUAUUUUGAACCGCAUGGUUCAAAAGUGAAAGACGGUCUUGCUGUCACUUAUAGAUGGAUCCGCGCUGCAUUAGCUAGUUGGUAAGGUAACGGCUUACCAAGGCAACGAUGCAUAGCCGACCUGAGAGGGUGAUCGGCCACACGGGAACUGAGACACGGUCCAGACUCCGACGGGAGGCAGCAGUAGGGAAUCUGCCGCAAUGGGCGAAAGCCUGACGGAGCAACGCCGCGUGAGUGAUGAAGGUCUUCGGAUCGUAAAACUCUGUUAUUAGGGAAGAACAGAUGUGUAAGUAACUGUGCACAUCUUGACGGUACCUAAUCAGAAAGCCACGGCUAACUACGU